AUUGAACGCUGGCGGCAUGCUUUACACAUGCAAGUCGAACGGUAACAGGCCUUCGGGUGCUGACGAGUGGCGAACGGGUGCGUAAUGCAUCGGAACGUACCCAGAGGUGGGGGAUAACGCAGCGAAAGCUGUGCUAAUACCGCAUGUGAUCUGAGGAUGAAAGCGGGGGACCGAGCAGCAAUGUUUGGCCUCGCGCCUUUGGAGCGGCCGCUGUCGGUUUAGCUGGUUGGUGGGGUAAAGGCCUACCAAGGCGACGAUCCGUAGCUGGUCUGAGAGGACGACCAGCGACCCUGGGACUGAGACGCGGCCCAGACUCCUACGGUAGGGAGCAGUGGGGAAUUUUGGACAAUGGUCGCAAGCCUGAUCCAGCAAUGCCGCGUGCGGGAAGAAGGCCUUCGGGUUGGAAACCGGGUUUGGCGGUAACGAAACGGUGUCCGCUAAUACCGGGCGCGAAUGACGGUACCUGCAGAAUAAGCACCGGCUAACUACGUG
This 492-nucleotide ribosomal RNA is filed under the name uncultured bacterium. RNAcentral describes it as "partial 16S ribosomal RNA". It matches the Rfam family "Bacterial small subunit ribosomal RNA", at positions 28 to 507 of the family's 1533-position model. The record is from RNAcentral.